RNAcentral lists this long non-coding RNA (634 nucleotides) under Homo sapiens (human). RNAcentral's name for it is "HSALNT0074468". Lineage: Eukaryota; Metazoa; Chordata; Mammalia; Primates; Hominidae. The record is from RNAcentral.
CCAUAAUAUUAGUGCAAGUAAAUAGAAGCAAAUGCUUUCAUGGUCCAUACUGUUUCUCAUUUUGAAAACAAAAGAUCAGUGAUCUCUCAGCCCCUUCCAUUCCUACCUGUCCUGCUACCACUGAACCUCUUUCCUUCCCUCACAGUCACACUUAUCAAACCAGUUAUCCUUUCUGUCUGUUUCCUUACCUGACAUAAUUCCUCUAAUUCCUCAUCUAUAAGAAAGGGAUAAUAAGUUGUUAGCAAGUCAGAUUCUGGUUCAAAGACAUGCCAAAUUCAAUGUUGGUAAUGAUUUUCAAUAAUUAUAUUGGUAGCUUCUAAGUAAGAACUUUAGUAAAUUACCCCACUCUAAUUCUGGGUUCUGUGCUCUCAUUCUCUCACUUAAGAUCUGAUGACUGAGACGUCUAAACACAGUGUUACUUUUAAUGUUUACCUUACCUGACUUCUCAAUAACUUACCUGAUGCUAUUGACUACACCCUUCUUGAAAUUCUUGUUUCUGGAUGUCCUUACAACCACUCCUGUUUUUUGACCCCGAUUGUCUAGUAGAGAUCCUCAGCUUUCUUAGUUGUAUUUCCUUGGCUGGCUCUGUCUUCUCUACCAAAACCUAGCUGUUGUGGUAUGUCUUUGACACUCA